Molecule: long non-coding RNA, 211 nt
Filed under: Elaeis guineensis (African oil palm)
Lineage: Eukaryota; Viridiplantae; Streptophyta; Magnoliopsida; Arecales; Arecaceae
Description: long non-coding RNA (EGUI_LNC052115)
Source: RNAcentral
UCUGUGCUUCUUCGGCAUCCAUGCCUAAAAAAAAAAAAGAAGAAGAAGAAGAAAAAGAGAAAGAGGGGGUGAAAAAGGAGAAAAGAAGAGAAGUAGGGGAGAGAGAGGGAAGGAAAGGAAAAGAAGAAAAGAAAAGGAGAGAUGAAAUACUGGUGGGAUCCAGGGGGCUCAAGCCGAUGUUGAACAGAAACUGCUCCUUCAGGAGGUUGGG